Long non-coding RNA from Trifolium pratense (red clover), 367 nucleotides. RefSeq lists it as uncharacterized. The transcript has 3 exons. Lineage: Eukaryota; Viridiplantae; Streptophyta; Magnoliopsida; Fabales; Fabaceae. The record is from RefSeq and is a predicted model, not a curated record.
CUCCCACAUCAAUUUGAAGAAUUCCUUUCUAGUAUUUCUUACCCAAUAUUAAAAUGAAACAUCUCUUCACCAUGCUGCUAUUUUGUUCCCUUCUUCUAUGCUCCUCUUUCUUAGAGCUAUCCAUUGCAUAUGAAGAUUCAUACCGAAUUCGCUUGUUCAACCGGUUGAAUCAAGAACCAACUUGUUAAACCUUUGGUUUGAUUUUGAUGAUUACAUUCUACUUUGUUUAUUGCGGCAACAAGUGUUCAGAGUUCAGACAGAUGCUCUAAAGCAGGGGUUGUAGAUAGGUGUGUGAAGUACUGUAAAAUAUGCUGCCAAGAGUGCAAAUGUGUUCCUUCUGGUACUUAUGGGAACAAACACGAAUGCC